GUAGAAAGGAAAUGAAAAGGAAGCAAGAGUCAAAGUGAAAUUCGAAAACAGUGCGACAGGUCCAAAACGUUGAGUUCACAAAUACAAAUUUCCAACCAAAUCCUACGCCAUUAAAGCUCCAACGUUGAGCUUACCAACUACAUCCCAAGCCCUUUUUCCCAUCUUUCAUUUUAACGUUUCUCAUCUCUCUCUUUCGAAUUUUCUAGAAUUCAACAGAGAGAGGAUUCAUCGCAAAGAGAAUCGGGGAAGACAGCAAUGGAACACUGGAGGAUGAUUCUGCCGUCUUUCCUGUUAAUUUUGACCUUGUUGGCGACGGAUCUUGUGCGCCCCAGCCAUGCUAUUUGGCUUAACCUUCCUUCAACGGGAACCAAGUGCGUCUCUGAGGAAAUCCAUAGCAACGUCGUUGUUUUGGCUGAUUACGUUGUAAUCUCUGAAAAUUACACCUACGCACCCACCAUUUCUGUCAAGGUAACAUCACCUUACGGGAACAACCUCCACCAAAAGGAGAAUCAAACGAUUGGGCAGUUUGCAUUCACCACAGCAGAGGCUGGCAACCAUCUGGCUUGCUUUUGGAUUGAUGGCCAUCAUCAGGGUGGUGGUGAUGUUAGCUUAAAUCUCGAAUGGAGAACUGGAAUUUCAGCUAAGGAUUGGGAGUCAGUUGCAAAAAAGGAAAAAAUUGAGGGUGUCGAGCUUGAGCUCGUAAAACUUGAAGGGGCGGUAAAGGCCAUUCAUGAGAAUCUUUUGUAUCUGAAGAAUAGGGAAGCAGAAAUGAGGACAGUUAGUGAAAAAACGAAUGGAAGAGUGGCGUGGUUUAGCAUAAUGUCUUUGGGAGUUUGUAUUUUGGCUUCAGCAAUUCAACUAUGGUACUUGAAGCGAUUCUUCCAUAAGAAGAAGCUCAUCUAAAACACUUUUGCAGCUUCAACGUUUCAUUUAACUAGUUUAUGUAAUCAAGGGAUUUGUGCAACUCAACCAAACUUUCUCUAAGUUUCUUCCAAAAUUAUCAUCAUUAUUUGGACAAAGAUACCAAAGAAAAGUAAGAAAAACAAACUGGCAACAGAACAUGGAGAGAGAGGUUGAUGGUUGGAUUUCAAACAGAUUCAAUGUGUCAUGGAAAAACUAUUGUUUUGAAAGCAAUUUCGACAAGGAUUUAAUUCUAAAUUGUUUCUAUAUCAACUGCUCUCAAAGUUUAACACACUACCUUUCUCAAAUGUGUACAUAUUAAAGAGGGAUUGGAAUCGAUAAAGAAGACGACUUUGCUUAGAGUUUUUUGAGGAAAACGAUUUGUAUUUGGCAUGAA
RNA transcript from Benincasa hispida (wax gourd), 1297 nucleotides. It is a transcript of the gene named transmembrane emp24 domain-containing protein p24delta3-like, with no coding region annotated. The record is from RefSeq and is a predicted model, not a curated record. NCBI's taxonomy places the organism in Eukaryota, Viridiplantae, Streptophyta, Magnoliopsida, Cucurbitales, Cucurbitaceae.